CCUACGGGAGGCAGCAGUGGGGAAUAUUGCACAAUGGGCGAAAGCCUGAUGCAGCAACGCCGCGUGAGCGAUGAAGGCCUUCGGGUCGUAAAGCUCUGUCCUCAAGGAAGAUAAUGACGGUACUUGAGAAGGAAGCCCCGGCUAACUACGUGCCAGCAGCCGCGGUAAUACGUAGGGGGCUAGCGGUAUCCGGAAUUACUGGGCGUAAGGGGUGCGUAGGUGGUUUCUUAAGUCAGAGUGGAAAGGCUACGGCUCAACCGUAGUAAGCCUUUGAAACUGGGGAACUUGAGUGCAGGAGAGGAGAGUGGAAUUCCUGGUGUAGCGGUGAAAUGCGUAGAUAUUAGGAGGAACACCAGUGGCGAAGGCGGCUCUCUGGACUGUAACUGACACUGAGGCGCGAAAGCGUGGGGAGCAAACAGGAUUAGAUACCCGAGUAGUC
This 439-nucleotide ribosomal RNA is filed under the name uncultured bacterium. RNAcentral describes it as "partial 16S ribosomal RNA". It matches the Rfam family "Bacterial small subunit ribosomal RNA", at positions 338 to 795 of the family's 1533-position model. The record is from RNAcentral.